UCGCAUACUCCUCUAAUCUGAGUAAUCUCUAAGUCUUUCGAGCCGAGCGAGUCCAUUUCAAUAUUUCAUAUAUUUCAGAUCAAAUCCCAUUUUGCCCUAGCCCUUACCCCCUAGCAGUUAGCCUGCUCCCAUUCUUCACACUUUUCGUGGAACUCGAUCUGACAUCCUCUCCACUUCUCCAGCCUCUGUCCCUCCGCCUCUCUCCGGCCUCCGCGGCGAACGCGCCUCGGGUGACGCACGAUCUCGAUCUCGGCUCCCAGUCUCCAAGUCUCGAUCUCGGCCUUAUCCGGCUCUCUUUGUAUGUUUGUUUUGUUUUGUUUUGUAAGUUACAUCUGAUUUUGAAUUGAACCCUUUUAGUCUUUUACGGGUUAUUCGAUCUUAUUUUGGUAGUUAGGGUUAUGAUUUCUAAGGUGGGUACUGGGUAAUCUUUUGAUUUGAGUGAUUGAAUCUUCUAAGGUGGGUACGGAGGGAUUGAAUCUUCUUAAAGGUGUAUUGGAUAGCAACUCUUGAGAUAAUAGUAGGUAAAGGAAAUUAAGAAUAGGUUGGGGUGCAGGGGAGGGAGGAAGGAAGGAAAGGGCCUGUACACUGACUGACGGGUUCAUGUUUUUUUUAACCCCCAUGUUGUUGCAGCCCCUCUCCUUUAUCCUUAUUGUUAUGAAAUAAACAAGUUAGUUUUAUUUAAUUUAGUUAGUUAAUUUUAUUUUAUUUUAUUUUUCUCAGAUCAUGUACCUUGUCAUAAAGUUAUGUUGUAUCUUUUCUUUUUUAGUGGUGCGCAGUGUAUAAAAUCCAUUUUGAAGGGUGCUUUGUUGUAUAAGAAAAUCUUUUCACUCAAUAAUUCAUACACAUGUAGAUUUGUUGUUUAUCAGGGCUUGUUUCUGAAACCAUAGUUUGCAGACCAGUGGGCAGUGGCUCAUUAUAUGGAGCUUUGAUUGGGUCUGUCCUGGCUUUUAAUGUUGCCGAUUUUCUAGGUGAGACUAAUUUCAUUCUUGUUCUCAUUUAUUUAUGUAAAUGCAUGUGUUCUAUCAGGUGUUCUUUAGUUGUGUUUUUCUGCAGUCAGUAAUGUGGUGUAGUUGUCAUACUUUUUAAGUUUUAAUGAUAAACCAACUGUGUCUGUGUUAAUGCCAGUUAAAUAGUACAGGAUUUGUGUUGCAUACUUGCAUGUUCAUGUUGUUGUACAUGAUGUGUGAUGUUCAUGGUCAUUUGAUGUACAGGAUUUGUGUUGCAUGUUGAUGUUGCUGUUGUUGACUUGUUGUUGGUUGUCGGCUGUUGUUGUAUGUUGUUGUUCGUUGUUGGUUGUUUGCUGUUGCACACUUGCACAAGCACAAUUGCUGUCUGCUGGUCUGCUGCUAGUUGCUGCUGCGUGCUACUCUGUCUCUGCUAGUAGAUUAAUUUCAUGUUGGCUUGUUGUUGCUUUGUUAAGUCAUAAAUUUGUUAAGGUCAUAAGGACUGGACAGUUAAUUUUUGUUGGUUUGUUGUUGCUGACUUGCUGUAUUUUGGACAGUUAAUUUGGCUUGCUUUGUUAAGUCAUAAAUUUCAUGUUGGCUUGUUGUUGCUACUGGACAAUUAAGUUAACAGUUGGCAGUUACUGGACAGUUGAUUUGUUAAACAGUUAACAUGUAAUUUAUGUUGGAUGAUAUUUCGGUUAUUACCCGAAUACCCGAAAUUACAAUUCCGUAAUUCGAUAUUCGGUUAUUUUCAAAUUUUAGUUAACAUUUCGGAUAGUGAAAUUAUCAAUAAUUCAAUUUUUCGAUUAUAACCGAAUAGCUUAUUCGGUUCGGUUAUAACCGAAUGAUCACUCCUAACUUCCACUCCCCCUAUCUCCAUCACAAGUCCCAACUUAUUGUCCAGUACCACAUCUUGUCCAACCUAAACCACCUCACCCACUUCAUUCACACAAAAAUCUCUGCUCUAACGUAUCCCAAGCUCUGUGACCUUGACGCUAUUUUGCUCCUCCUCCUCUUUUGCGAACUCCGCCAACAGGAUCCCAAAGCACUUGAAACAACACCAAUUAAAUGGCGUCUCACUCUUUGUAAUUAUUAUGUUCAUGAUACCAUAUUAACAUUUUCUGGUAUUAGUGUUUGAAAUAGUGUCGGUACAUAUUUUUUUCAUAGUACAAUUGGUAACCAAACCUUCAUACAAAGGUAUCCAAUUCAGUUUUAUUGGGUUACCAAUUAAUUAUAAAAAAUUUAAGAACAGUUUCCAAGUGUUUCCUGAAUUUGUUUUAUUUAACAUGUGCAACCAUGAAAAAUUUUAUUGGGUUCUGUAAUGGUCGUCGUCAGUACAUUUUUUUUCACAGUUCAGUUGGUAGCCAAACCUUCAUAUAAAGGUAACAAGUUCAGUUUUAUUGGGUUACCAAUUAAUUAUAAAAAAAAUUUAAGAAUAGUUUUCAUGUGUUACUUGAAUUUGUUUUCUUCAACAUGUGCAACCAUAUAUGAACAAUUUUAUUUGGUUCUGCAAUGGUCACCGUCAGUACAUUUUUUUUAUAGUGCAGUUGGUAGCCAAACCUUCAUACAAAGGUAACCAAUUCAUUUUUAUUAGGUUACCAAUUAAUUAUAAAAAAUUUAAGAACAGUUUCCAACAUGUGCAACCAUGAACAAUUUUAUUGGGUUAUGCAUUGCAAUUGGAUAGCGAUAAUUAAUUUCUCACUAAAUCAGUUUAUUUAAGGGAUGAUCAGAGAACGACAAACAACAAAACAAUGAUAGAGGAAAACACGAUAUGGUAUCUCGAUUGAACUGAAUUCGAAAACUUAAGAGAUGCCGGCGGAGGAUUGUAAUAUAUAGUAAUUAAUAUGGAAAAUACAGAACAAUUGAGUUUGGAGGCGGCAGUGUCGAGUAAUAUGAGUCAUCGAUGCCGUAUGGUGGCGGGAGAGAAUAGUAAUUAAAGGUGGGAACCGAUGGUUGCAGAGCUAGGCGGUGGCGAAAAGUAGUAUCGGUGGGCAAUUGGAGUUUGAUGACGGCAGUGACGGAGAGGGAAGCGACAGAGAUGGGGGAGGAGGAUAGAGAAUGAGAUGAAAAGUAGAGUGAAAGAAGAGGGAGAAUUCAUUAUAUUGACAUUCUUUUCGUAAUUUUUUUUGUGGAUGCACUAAUCUAGCUUGUAAUUACUUUCUAAUUGUUGUAUAGUAGUGUAAAGAACCCAUUAUUUUAUUGGCGAUAUACUUUGAUACACUAUUUUCAGAGCAGACCCAAAUCACCUGAACUAGCCGGUUCAACCGGCUGAAUCUGGAAUUGGUUAUAUGUCCAAUCCAGUUUAGACCGAUUGAACUAGUUUGGUCAAAACCUAAAUUGAACCUCCAGUAAAAUCAGUCAAGUUGACCUGGUAAAUAGAUGUUUUUUAAUUUUUGUACCA
Molecule: long non-coding RNA, 3345 nt
Filed under: Panax ginseng (ginseng)
Lineage: Eukaryota; Viridiplantae; Streptophyta; Magnoliopsida; Apiales; Araliaceae
Description: long non-coding RNA (PGIN_LNC008206)
Source: RNAcentral